RNAcentral lists this ribosomal RNA (253 nucleotides) under uncultured bacterium. Its description in RNAcentral is "partial 16S ribosomal RNA". It matches the Rfam family "Bacterial small subunit ribosomal RNA", at positions 524 to 776 of the family's 1533-position model. The record is from RNAcentral.
UACAGAGGUCCCAAGCGUUGUUCGGAUUUACUGGGCGUAAAGGGUGCGUAGGCGGCAUGGAAAGUUCGGCGUGAAAUCUCCAGGCUCAACUUGGAAACUGCGCUGAAUACUUCCUUGCUAGAGGGUCGCAGAGGAGAUUGGAAUUCUCGGUGUAGCAGUGAAAUGCGUAGAUAUCGAGAGGAACAUCAGUGGCGAAAGCGAAUCUCUGGGCGGCAUCUGACGCUGAGGCACGAAAGCCAGGGGAGCAAACGGG